Molecule: long non-coding RNA, 2722 nt
Organism: Anopheles gambiae (African malaria mosquito)
Lineage: Eukaryota; Metazoa; Arthropoda; Insecta; Diptera; Culicidae
Exons: 2
Source: RefSeq, a predicted model, not a curated record
UCGGGUUGGUUCUCGAAAGCUUCCCGCGUGGAAACACAGUCAGCAGAAAAACUAGUGUGCAUACGGACGGCGAACGGAGCGGUUGUUUGUCUGGUGACGCUUGGCGGCUACGUUCGGUGCUGGUCGAGAGCAACAACUUGUUGUUGGUGUCGAGAGUUUCGUACCCGUGCUCGGGAAGGAAACCACCCAAGAAAGCAUAGUCGUGCAAAGCAAUUACCAAUUACACGUACACGCACGGCGCGGGAUGGUUUCGUAGGAUCAUCAGCUGCAGUUCGGCUCUCCGAUCCGACGUUGGCGUUGGCACGAUAAUCGUCUGAUCGUAUCUCGUUGUGCGAUCUACAGACGGCUCAAAACGUGCCACGCGCACUCACAUUCCUGCUUUCACGCUAAUACUCUGUAAGCGUCUUGUAUGUGAAGCUGUACGGACGAAAUCCGCAAACGAGGAACGAUCGUAAUUAGAAGGUUACCACCAGAAUGGAUGAAGGCAGCUUCUCUCUGCCGACGAUCUGCCUGUCUGUCCGUCUCAGGCACGGAGCGUGUUGGAAGUGCACGCGGGGCGCAGCUUGUGAAAAUUGACACACUCACACUCGAUGUCACACUAGCGUUUACGGGCAUAUCUUAUCGCGCUAUCGCACACAGGUUCUGUUUUAGUGAGUUCAGAUUUCCGACGACUCUCCCCCCCCCCCUCUCCUGUGUGGCUGGGAUUGGGUUGUGUCUGUGUGAUAGUAGUACCGAGGGCUCGCUAUCGCAAAUGUAGCGUCGUGGUGAUAACGAGAACCCUCGCCGAAAAACACAUGCCGCACUGUCGUGCAUCGUGCCAGUUCCUUUCUAGCAGAUAGGGAGACUCGGUUUUUCGGACGACGGGCGCGAUUAUAGUUGGAACUAAAAAUGGUAUGUUCCUGCUCGGUAGCAUUCUUUUAGUCCCUUCUCCAGCGGGGCGAUAUCUGUCAACCCGGAAGUGUAACUAGUCGUUAUCAGGGCUGAAAUUCCACCAAUUUCUUGCCAGUGAGCACAUUUCCGACACACAUUUGCUUAUCUCACUAGCACUGCUGUACUUCGGGGGAGAUAUGGUUUUAAUGGCGUCCGAAACCCUCAACCUCCAGCAAGCUCUAUUUUAAUGGUUCCAAUUCCAAUUCAAUAAACCUCACCUCAGUCGGCACAUAAAUUAGCGGUGUAUUAGGCAAGCGGGAGAAACAAUUAAAACUUAAUUUUACCAUCUCUGCCUCGGCGGCAGCACGGUGCGGCCCAGGGCUUAAAGGUUACGCAUUAUCAGUGCGCACACGGUAGCUCAGUUGAUAGCGGCGGGAGCGUUUGUCUGUGGCGCUUGCGGGCUGUGGCCUUGAUGAUGAAGAUGAUGAUCAUCUCACGAAAGCUCGAGAAUACGCAGGAGGGAUUUCGAUGGAGGGGCGCACUAGGGCGUACUGCAAACUUUCGGCAUGAAUGAAUUGGAAGAAGCCGGCUUGAAGAAGGAUCGGUUCGACAACGUAACGCGUUGUCGCGCGCGCGGUCGCCGCGGUUUCGUAAUGAGUCCGGCCGGGAGUUGGACGGGGGUAACAUCGUGUAAUCAACCACACAGACUCACAUACUUACACACCUCUGUGUGUGUGUGUGUAGAAUGGGCUACAAAAAAUAAAAGAAACAAUCGGCGAGGCCCCCACUUAACGCCUCGCGCAAAACGGUGUGCGUUUCGGUGUGCGCGCAAGAUGCGCACGAAACAAAAAAAAAACACACACACACACACACUCAGGGGAACACACAUAUCAGCAGGUCUAUGAGCCGGCCCACCGGGCGGGUGGUAGAGUUUGUGGUUCAAGGGGUGCGAUAGAUGUGCGUGUGGUUGUGCGCGAGGGUUGGGUAUAUUUAAUCACACCGCAUCAUCAGUACUGUCGCGGCCGCGUAGAUGCGCAAGGGAAGGGAGUGGGGAGGGAGCUGUGGUGAGGGUAGAUUGGAUUGGGGUGAAUCGCGUUUGCUUCGCGAACGAAUGCGCCAGGGUUAAACGCCAUACCGGUGCGCUCGGGCACGCUAGUGUAGUUCCGACGAUUGGCGCAACGCGACGCGCGUGUAACGUAACCCGCGGUUUUUGGCUGGGUUUCCCAUUUAUCGCUACGCAUUGCGCUUUUCGAAUCGAUCGAAGUUUAAUCCAAAAAACGAAACCAUUUUUUUUCGUUUUUCAUUUCUCGAUUUUCCUCCCGUUUGUUGGGGGAAAAUAUCCUUCCGUUACGGGGCGUGGUGCGUGGACAUAUUCAUUCCGGUUCAAGACAGGCGCUCAGCAGUGAAAUCAUGUAAGAUUUUUUGCGGAUUGUAUGUGUGUGUGUGUACAUGACGAUCGUUAGUGUUCGGCACGUGGAGGCAAACUUUAUGACAGCUGUCAGAUAGUAGUAGUUUAGUCGCGUGGCUACGUGUGGGUGUACAUGCUUUGUGUUUGUGUAGUGUAUCCAAACCCUUUCGUCUACCGUUCUGCUGCAAUCCGUUGAGUUCUGGAUCUCUGUUAUCAUCCUCAUCCAGUGGAUACGUAACUCCAAACACGGCGGGGCACACCUUUCACAACUCUUCGCCAUUACGGCACCAUUUUAGCCUACUUUUUUGAUAAAUGUGGCUCAUCUCGUUGAUGGAUAUACGGUUUGCUCCUCCACCCUUCUGCCGGUUGUGUUUGCUAUGAUAAUAAAAAGUAAAAAAACAAAAAAACACUUGCGCGCACUGUACCGGGCAAUUUGUAUCAUCC